This 450-nucleotide unclassified non-coding RNA is filed under the name Homo sapiens (human). RNAcentral describes it as "long intergenic non-protein coding RNA 2833 (ENSG00000280805.2)". The record is from RNAcentral. Lineage: Eukaryota; Metazoa; Chordata; Mammalia; Primates; Hominidae.
UGUGCCUGGCUGGAUCAGGGUGGGGCUGUAGAGCUGCACAUCAUAGUCUGCAUCCGGGUCAGCCCUGAAUCUCAGGCACUGGAAGGUUACCCUGAUGGGCAGGACCCACUCCCAUCACUAAGAGAACAUCAAAAGGGCAGGUGUGGGGGUGGAUAGGAAGAUCAGGAUCUCUGAAAGGAAAUUUGCAUUGUGGUAACCUACAGACUCCACCUGGACCCAUGAUUCAUGACUCAACCAGUCCACCCAGAAGCUGACUCAGAGCAUAAGGAGCAUUUUCCACACCCCUAGGAUUUCAUCUCCAACCAAUCAGCAUUCCCCAUUCUCUAGCCCCUGUCCACCAAACUAUUCUUUAAAAACCUUAGCUCUAAGCUUUAUUUAUUUAUUUAAGUAAUACACUCCUGUCUUCCACUUAGCUGGUUCUGUAUUUAUUAAACUCUUUCUCUACUGCCA